UACGGGAGGCAGCAGUGGGGAAUCUUGUUCAAUGGGCGAAAGCCUGAAGCAGCGACGCCGCGUGCGGGAUGAAGGCCUUCGGGUUGUAAACCGCUUUCAGCAGGGACGAAAUUGACGGUACCUGCAGAAGAAGGCCCGGCCAACUACGUGCCAGCAGCCGCGGUAAUACGUAGGGGCCUAGCGUUGUCCGGAUUUAUUGGGCGUAAAGAGCUCGUAGGCGGUUUGGUGAGUCGGGUGUGAAAUCUCCACGCUCAACGUGGAGGGGCCACCCGAUACUGCCAUGACUAGAGUCCGGUAGGGGAGUGUGGAAUUCCCGGUGUAGCGGUGAAAUGCGCAGAUAUCGGGAGGAACACCAGUAGCGAAGGCGACACUCUGGGCCGGUACUGACGCUGAGGAGCGAAAGCGUGGGGAGCAAACAGGAUUAGAUACCCUGGUAGUCCACGCUGUAAACGUUGGGCACUAGGUGUGGGACUCUAUCGACGGGUUCCGUGCCGUAGCUAGCGCAUUAAGUGCCCCGCCUGGGGAGUACGGCCGCAAGGCUAAAACUCAAAGGAAUUGACG
Molecule: ribosomal RNA, 561 nt
Filed under: uncultured Actinomycetes bacterium
Lineage: Bacteria; Bacillati; Actinomycetota; Actinomycetes
Description: SSU rRNA
Rfam family: Bacterial small subunit ribosomal RNA
Source: RNAcentral